Non-coding RNA from Salvelinus sp. IW2-2015, 185 nucleotides. Lineage: Eukaryota; Metazoa; Chordata; Actinopteri; Salmoniformes; Salmonidae. The record is from RefSeq and is a predicted model, not a curated record.
UUUUGCUCCCAGUCAGGUUGUGUGCAAGAUGGGACAAUUCUCAGUUCUGCUUUUGCUGACAGUUCUCUGUGCAUUCUUUGAGGAAACUGAAGCAAAUCCAUUUGUUUACAACUAUGAGAGACUACGAAUUGGAGGCCUGAUCAUUGCAGGCUUGCUUGUAGCAGGUGGAUUGUUUGUCCUACUUA